CGGAGCCUAGCCAACUGCAGAGAAAUGAUCAGAGACCUCCCUGAGCCACAUCUAAAUAAGCUAUAACCCUCUGGACUACCUCAGUUUUACUGAAUCAACUUAGAGGAGAGAGCCCCUUGGUGCUACGUGAAAUGAGUCAUUUGAGGGGGCUGGCCACAGUACGAAGAAGAAAACAGUGAGGCUGUCGCAGGUAGAAUCUCGGUCAUUUUACACAGUAGAGAAUUCUGGAAAGCCAAAGCCCUCGAAAUCAUCUGCACUAUGCUGAUCGCCAUACUUAUUUCCAAUGAUUGGUGUCUGCAGAGAAACAAAAAGGACAGUGUUCGACUGGGAUCUUUCACCAUAAAGGGAUUAGUAGUGGAUCUGUAAGGACUUUUUUUUUUUUUUUUUUUACAAACAACCAAAAAAAAAAAGCAAAGGAAGAUAACAGCAU
Prionailurus viverrinus (fishing cat) is the source of this 430-nucleotide long non-coding RNA. RefSeq lists it as uncharacterized. The record is from RefSeq and is a predicted model, not a curated record. NCBI's taxonomy places the organism in Eukaryota, Metazoa, Chordata, Mammalia, Carnivora, Felidae. The transcript has 3 exons.